Molecule: ribosomal RNA, 461 nt
Filed under: uncultured bacterium
Lineage: Bacteria
Description: partial 16S ribosomal RNA
Rfam family: Bacterial small subunit ribosomal RNA
Source: RNAcentral
AUGAACGCUGACAGAAUGCUUAACACAUGCAAGUCUUUGGCGAAGCUGUGCUUGCACAGCCUAGCCAGGGCGGACGGGUGAGUAACGCGUAAGGAACUUGCCCUGCAGUCAGGGAUAACAGACGGAAACGACUGAUAAGACCUGGUAAAGUCAGGCGGACUCAUGUCCAGCCUGAUGAAAAGAGAUGCUGCAGGAGAGCCUUGCGUCCUAUUAGCUUGUUGGUGGGGUAACGGCCCACCAAGGCGAUGAUAGGUAGCCGGCCUGAGAGGGUGGACGGCCACAAGGGGACUGAGAUACGGCCCUUACUCCUACGGGAGGCAGCAGUGGGGAAUAUUGGACAAUGGGGGCAACCCUGAUCCAGCAAUUCUGUGUGCACGAUGAAGGUUUUCGGAUUGUAAAGUGCUUUCAGCAGGGAAGAAAAAAUGACGGUACCUGCAGAAGAAGCGACGGCUAAAUACGUG